This 2893-nucleotide ribosomal RNA is filed under the name metagenome. RNAcentral describes it as "bacterial LSU rRNA". It matches the Rfam family "Bacterial large subunit ribosomal RNA". The record is from RNAcentral.
UCAAGCUACAAAGAGCAUAGGGCGGAUGCCUUGGCACCAGGAGCCGAUGAAGGACGUGGAAAGCUGCGAAAAGCUUCGGGAAGGCGCACACAGCCAAUGAUCCGGAGAUAUCCGAAUGGGGCAACCCGUCUAGGAAAAGCCUAGACACUACUAGAUGAAUCCAUAGUCUAGUAGAGGGAACUCGGAGAACUGAAACAUCUAAGUAUCCGAAGGAGGAGAAAGAAACAUCGAUUUCCUAAGUAGCGGCGAGCGAACGGGAAAGAGCCCAAACCAAUGCAAUGCAUUGGGGUAAGGACUGCAUACGGAAUCUUACGAAAUAGAGGAAGUGUUUUGGGAAAGCACACCAAAGAGGGUGAAAGUCCCGUAGACAAAAUUUCAAAAGAGCCAGCAGGAUCCAGAGUACCACGGGACACGAGAAACCCUGUGGGAAGACGGGGGGACCACCCCCCAAGGCUAAAUACUCCCUGGUGACCGAUAGUGCAAAGUACUGUGAAGGAACGGUGAAAAGAACCCCGGGAGGGGAGUGAAAAAGAACCUGAAACCCUAUGUUUACAAACAAUGGAAGAACGAGAUGUUCGACCGUGUACUUUUUGUAGAACGGUCCGGCGAGUUGCAUUUACCAGCCAGGUUAAAGACGAAAAGUCUGGAGCCGAAGGGAAACCAAGUCUGAAAAGGGCGUCUAGUUGGUAAGUGCAGACCCGAAACCGGGUGACCUACCCAUGUCCAGGAUGAAGUCUCCGUAAAAGGAGAUGGAGGUCCGAACCCACAAGUGUUGAAAAACUUGGGGAUGAGGUGUGGGUAGGGGAGAAAUUCCAAUCGAACUCGGAGAUAGCUGGUUCUCCUCGAAAUAGCUUUCGGGCUAGCCUUGAUGGAAUCUAAUGGAGGUAAAGCACUGACUUGCCUAGGGGGCCAAUCCGCCUACCGAAGCAUAUCAAACUAAGAAUGCCAUAAAGAUACUCAUCAGGAGUCAGACUAUGGGAGAUAAGUUUCAUAGUCGAGAGGGAAAGAGCCCAGACCAUCAGCUAAGGUCCCUAAGUACGUGUUAAGUGGAAAAGGAUGUGAGAUUUCAGAGACAACUAGGAUGUUGGCUUAGAAGCAGCCACUCAUUCAAAGAGUGCGUAAUAGCUCACUAGUCGAGAGAUCUUGCGCCGAAAAUGUCCGGGGCUAAAACACGGCACCGAAGCUAUGGCUAGAUACAGAAGUAUCUGGGGUAGAGGAGCAUUGUUAUCGAGACGAAGCUAUACCGUAAGGCGUAGUGGAUGGAUAACAAGAGAGAAUGCCGGAAUGAGUAGCGAGAGAGAAGUGAGAAUCUUCUCGGCCGAAAAUCUAAGGAUUCCAGAGUAAAGCUGAUCUGCUCUGGGUAAGUCGGGACCUAAGGCGAGGACGCAAGUCGUAGUCGAUGGACAACAGGUAGAAAUUCCUGUACUACUAAAUAACAGAACUGUGGGGACGCAGAAGGAUAAACAAACCGGGGAGCGGAAAAACCCGGCCAAUCACGGAGUCAGGGAAGAUAGGCAAAUCCGUUUUUCCAAUGAUGAAGUGAGAAGGGGACUGAAGAAAAGUAGGGAAGUUGUUGACUCCAAGCUGCCAAGAAAAGCCGCUAUUGUUUAUUUAGUACCCGUACCGUAAACCGACACAGGUAGAUGAGGAGAGAAUCCUAAGGCCGACGGGAGAAGCGUUGUUAAGGAACUCGGCAAAAAGACCCCGUAACUUCGGGAGAAGGGGUGCCUGUAGGAAUACAGGCCGCAGUGAAAAGGCCCAAACGACUGUUUAGCAAAAACACAGGUCUCUGCGAAACCGAAAGGUGAAGUAUAGGGGCUGACGCCUGCCCGGUGCUGGAAGGUUAAGGGGACGAGUUAGCUGCAAAGCAAAGCUCAGAACUUAAGCCCCAGUAAACGGCGGCCGUAACUAUAACGGUCCUAAGGUAGCGAAAUUCCUUGUCGGGUAAGUUCCGACCCGCACGAAAGGCGUAACGAUUUGGGCACUGUCUCGACAACGCGCCCGGUGAAAUUGAAAUACCAGUGAAGAUGCUGGUUACCCGCGACAGGACGGAAAGACCCCGUGGAGCUUUACUGCAGCUUGAUAUUGGGAUUCGGCAUUACCUGUACAGGAUAGGAGGGAGGCAAAGAAGUGAGGACGCCAGUCUUCAUGGAGCCAUUGUUGGGAUACCUCUCUUGUAGUGCUGAAUUUCUAACCUGGAUCCCUAACCGGGAUUAGGGACAUUGUCAGGUAGGCAGUUUGACUGGGGCGGUCGCCUCCGAAAGAGUAUCGGAGGCGCUCAAAGGUCACCUCAGAAUGGUAGGAAAUCAUUCGCAGAGUGCAAAGGCAAAAGGUGGCUUAACUGUGACACCGACGGGUGGAACAGAUACGAAAGUAGGACUUAGUGAUCCGGUGGUAUAAAGUGGGAUUGCCAUCGCUCAACGGAUAAAAGCUACCCCGGGGAUAACAGGCUUAUCACUCCCAAGAGUUCACAUCGACGGAGUGGUUUGGCACCUCGAUGUCGGCUCAUCGCAUCCUGGGGCUGUAGUAGGUCCCAAGGGUUGGGCUGUUCGCCCAUUAAAGCGGUACGCGAGCUGGGUUCAGAACGUCGUGAGACAGUUCGGUCCCUAUCCGUCGUGGGCGCAGGAAAUUUGCGGGGAUCUGUCCUUAGUACGAGAGGACCGGGAUGGACAAACCACUGGUGGAUCUGUUGUACUACCCAGUGCAUAGCAGAGUAGCCAAGUUUGGGAAGGAUAAACGCUGAAGGCAUCUAAGCGUGAAGCCAGCCCCAAGAUAAGAUUUCCCAUAGCGCAAGCUAGUAAGACCCCUAGAAGACGACUAGGUAGAUAGGCCAUAAGUGUAAGAGUGGUAACACUCUCAGCUAAAUGGUACUAAUCGGUCGAGGGCUUGACCU